This 211-nucleotide ribosomal RNA is filed under the name uncultured bacterium. RNAcentral's name for it is "partial 16S ribosomal RNA". It matches the Rfam family "Bacterial small subunit ribosomal RNA", at positions 1290 to 1500 of the family's 1533-position model. The record is from RNAcentral.
AGUUCGGAUUGUAGUCUGCAACCCGACUACAUGAAGCUGGAAUCGCUAGUAAUCGCGAAUCAGAAUGUCGCGGUGAAUACGUUCCCGGGUCUUGUACACACCGCCCGUCACACCAUGGGAGUCGGAAAUGCCCGAAGUCAGUGACCCAACCGCAAGGAGGGAGCUGCCGAAGGUGGGGCCGGUAACUGGGGUGAAGUCGUAACAAGGUAAC